AUCGAACUCGUUCACGCUUUAGGAGGAGCACAUCAGCACUUUUUUCUCUCAAUCUCUGGAUCAAAUUGGAUUUUCAACAACCUCACUGGAGUUUGUUCCUGUCGAGUCGUUAAAACCUGCUGAGGGGAGAAGCAGCAAGUCCUGAAUUCAGAAAGUACGAGGAAGGGAAGGCGGUCACCUUCAGACCGCAGCCGGCCCUGCACUUACUGCUCGAGCUCUUUAUGUGACUAAAAUUGUCAUCUUUUGUGACCGUUUCUACUUCCCGACUCAUCCUGCUGACUCAUCCUGCCAACACACACUCAUUCCUAAUGAGCUGAUCAGUGACUCAGAAGUGUGACAGUGCUGACAGAGGACUGCAGGUGAACGUGAAUUUAAAGGAGAUGAACGAGUGAUAUUUGUACUUUUCUGGACACACUCCUUGUGGCCUCACGUGUCUUUCAGUGACUUUAAACUGAACGAGUUUUAAUAGAUGGUUCACCCGCUAACGAUGCAGCUAAUCUGUAGCCAGCUAAUCAUGAUGGACAGACGAGUGGAAGAUGGGUAAUAAAUAGUCUGAUUUGGUGCUUUGUGUACUCGGGUUUUUGCCUUUCGGUGACUUUGACUAAAUUUCAACAGCCAAGCAAGGUUUGUGCAAAAUAUCUGCCAGCAAAGUAGCUAAUCUGUAGCCACAAGCUGCAGCUUCCCACAAGGAUUAAACCUUCCUGCCUGUUAGCUUACAGCGACUUACCAGGCCUCUGCAGUGAGAGCUGUCUGCAGAGACUGUGGCUGAUUCUUCUUGUUUUCUUGUCCCAGAAUCAGUGAACUACAUGCCAGCUGGGGCAGUUAGCAAUGCAGGUCAAUAGUUCCUGUCUGCCUUUCGUGUUAAGCGACAUGCUUUUGUCAGCUCAAGCCUCUCUGAACCCUUAAUGACUGAGCAGAUACACGAGCACAUGUGCAAAUGUUUGAAAUCAGACAGCACUGAGUUUGAAGGCUGAUGACAACCUACUGGAUCCCCGUCAAUGCUGAGUUUGCAGGCCAGCUUUAGCCAUAGACGUUAAUAUUACUGACUGGGCAGCUAAUAUAACUCGCUGUAUAUUAUUUCCAUUUCACAAUAAUUCUGCAAGUGUCUUUAUUAAUCGUGAAGUUGGUUCUUUUAUCUCACCAGCAGCUAAAAUCCCACAAGUGUUAAUGACACCAUCAUAUAUGACAACAAAAAGCUCUACCCAGCUCUGCUUUAACAGAGUCCAAUGAUUAACCGAUUAUCAGGUGUUUCUCUAGAUAAGUUCAAGUUCAGCUCUUUGACACUGAUCUAAAUAACUACAAACAUAGAGACUCACUGGUGGAGUCCUGAGUGAUAAAGUCAAGCAACAGAAAAAAUAAAAUUUGAGAAACCCAGGCUGAUUGUAAUUCUGAUUAAAAACGAAGCAUGUAGAAAUGUAUGUAAAAGGUAAUUGUACGUGUUAAAUAUAACUCUAAUUAUAGUUCGUUUGUUCCAGCGGGGAGGAAGUCCUUCCUUUUGUAAAUAUUUCAGCCUUUUUUUAAGAUGAUAGGAAUUUGACUAUUUGAAUAAUUAAAAUUCAAAGCUCGAGUAGUGUUCAUCAUGAUGGUGUGCUUUAAUCAGAUUCAGUAUACGUGUCCUAAAAUUCUGUUUUCCACACAGCCAGUCAUUCUAGCAGUGCUGCAGGAGAACUAACUUAUUUUCCAAUGGAAACUUUGUCACAUUUGUUCGGAACACUCAAAAAACACACCUCAGCUUCACUUUCUGAGUCACCGCCUUCAUUAGAGUCUCGCUGACUUACUGUCGGCCGAUCUGACUGACAAACUGACUCUCACAGCGUGCUUUCGGCAGAUAAGACGGGAUUCAUCAACAGAAAGACGUGACACCGGCUGGAAAAACACCCGGCACCCCUGCCCGCGCCUCCCUCUCCAAGGGCACGCAGCAGGGAAACAGAUCCGUGUGCACCGCCAAUCAGCACCUCCAGGGAAACCAUGGAAACCCCUGGAUGUAAACUCAUUUCGUCUGUGCGCAGCCUCCAGGAAGACCAUUCCUUAUAGGAGCGUCGUCCCCUGACCUGCAGCUUCUUUAGGAAGUGGAACUUGAAAGGAAAUAAUCCACAAUCACUCUUUUAGAGAAAAUCAGUUUAACAGCUCCAUCUUCAUCAUCCUGUGUAUCCACUUUCCCUCCUCUGCACAUGUCCAAACCACCUCAGCUCUGACUUCCUGUCCGUCACCACUGCAAACGAGAAGGGACUGAGAGCCGACCCUCCGAUGUAAUCUGUCUGUCCUUCAUAUUUACUGAUUACUACAUGAAAUUAAUAUUUUCAUAACUCACCUGGACUAUUUUACACUUUAACAGUGGAAAAGUGCUGAUUUGGACAUGGAAUUAAUGUGUUGCUGUUCGAGCCUCGCACAUGACAGAUUUUUACACUGCAUCAUUCAUCAUCUACAAACUGCAAUAAAAGCUCAAAAGAAGUUGUUUGUUAGCUUGAUAAGAAGAUGACAGUUAAAACUGCUCUGUCUUCUUGGUUGCCAUGGUGAAAUGUACUUUGAAGUCUGCACAUACAUGCAGACAGAAAUAUGCUUCCUAUUGAAAUUCGUCAGUUUCAAAGUCAAGCUGACAAAACGUCACAUUUGAGUCUGUGCUCUGCUUCCAGUUUAACCUCCGAGCCUUCACCUUUUAUCGCUCACUCAGAUAUUUUCCAACAAGGGGUUCCCCAAAGCAGCUCCUCACACUUCAGCGAGCUGCAUCGUGACAGCGUGUCGCAACACUUCUGGCUUUC
Long non-coding RNA from Astatotilapia calliptera (eastern happy), 2759 nucleotides. NCBI's taxonomy places the organism in Eukaryota, Metazoa, Chordata, Actinopteri, Cichliformes, Cichlidae. The record is from Ensembl.